This is a long non-coding RNA of Biomphalaria glabrata, 2439 nucleotides long. RefSeq lists it as uncharacterized. NCBI's taxonomy places the organism in Eukaryota, Metazoa, Mollusca, Gastropoda, Planorbidae. The transcript is spliced from 3 exons. The record is from RefSeq and is a predicted model, not a curated record.
GACAAUCAAAUGAAUCACCUUGUCCUAUUUAUUUGUCUAAUUGGAAAGAAAACAAGCAUUGACAGCUGGAGAUCCUAUAAAAAAGGUGAAGUCCCAAUGGAAAAGUUGAAUUGGCAUUAGAGGGGUCAAUACAAAGAUUCACUUGACCAACAUUGAUAAAAAGAGUCAUUGCAUUAGAAUGGUUUCCAAUUAGAAUGGACUUGAUGCAUGCUCAGAGCGUUGCAAUAAAACAUUGUUUUAAGUGGCACAAAUUUAACAAAGGUAGACUACACAAACACAACAAAGGUGCUUCUGAGUUCACCCAGUUCUUUUAGGUACCUGACAUUAGUUGGGGAAAAGUAAAGGCGGUUGGUCAUUUCGCUGGCCACUUGACACCCUUUAACACAGAAACAGAUGACCUUUACAUCAUCUGCCCAAGGUCGGAAAAGGGUAAUUACUUUUUUAUCUCUGAUUACCAUGCCAAUUGCUCUAGCAGCAGCAUUCAGUUUUGAUAUAAGAUCUUGUACCUGGAAAGAGGUAUAUAUCAUCUGCAAACCUUAGAUUGGAAAUAGGACGCCAAUUUAUGGUCAAGCUAGGAGUAAAGUUUCCAUUAUAAUAAGCUCCAGAAAUAUGUUAAAAAGAGCAUCCUUGCCGCAAUCCUAUGGAUGUCCUAAACAUUUCUUCAAUUUGGUUGUUCAGAAGUACUGUGUUAUUUGCCUUUUGAUGUUUUUAUCUAAUCUAUAUUGAACUCCCUCAUCACUUGCCACAUGCCAAACCCUGUCAAAAGCUUUUUUAAAGUCUACGAAGUUGUGUACCAGUUUCUUUUGGUGUUGAAAGCAUUUUUAAUUAACAGUCUAAUGUUAACUAUUUGUUCAACAGUGCUUCUACCUGCUCUGAAGUUUGCCUAUUCUUUGGAAAGGACAUCCUCAGCUUUUCUUCUGAGUAUGUUGAGAAUUAUUCUUGGCAUUAUCUUGCUCGGGUGACUCAUUAGAAUUACUAUUCAAUAGUUUUGGCACUGUCUCUAAGUUUCCAUUCUUGGGCAGUGGAAUAAUUAAUGAUUGGUUCCAUUCUUUUAGCCAUGUUUUUUUUCCCCAUAUUUUCUGGCAGAUUGUCCUAAAACAUAUAGCUUUUUGUGAGCCACCAUGUUUUAAAAGUUCUGAUGGUAUGUUAAGUGAUUUUAUUGCUUCCCCUACUUCUGACUCAAAAAACGGAGCUUCGCUAAGUUCUCUGUUGUCCCAAGGUGUUUUGUUGAUUAGACUGCAUUUGGGAUUUAUCUCAAAGUUAAACAGAUCUUAGCAAUAUUCUGUCCAUCUUCUAAGCACAUCUGCUUCUUCAAUUACUCUGGUUCUUGCUUGUCUUGUGUUGGUUAAAGCUUUUAAUGUUUUGUAUGCUUUUUUGAUAUUGCCAACUAGUCUAGAUCUAGAUAAUAAAGAUUAGAUUAUUUUAUUCUAAAUCUAGACAUUUAAUACUAACAUAAUAGAUCAAUGUAAUAAAUCUAUCACUUUGUGUGUGUUGUUUCUGUUUAGUUUUUCAAAGAAGUUUUCUUAGAAUAGAAUCUAUAUUUAUAGAUCUAGAUCUAAAACUAAAACAUUAAUGUACACUUUAAUAGGCUAAUAUAUAAAAAAAAGAUUCUUGAUCGACCGCCGGCGGACAAUGGUUAUGCUUUCCCUGGAUGUGGCAAAAUAUGUAGGUCACAGAUGGGGCUGCAUAACCACAGGAAAUACUGCAUUCCCCAAUAGUCUUCUGACUCGAAGACAAGCCUUGAUUAUCAUCAUUAUUAUUAUUAUAAAAAAAAAUAAAAUUUGUAAGUCUAAAGUAGUCUAGAUUUAAUACAUUAAAAUUCUUUCUGUCAAUGUCAAUGGAAGUGCUGAGAAUAUUUGGUCAUUGAUGCUAUUAUAAAUUAUGAAUGUUUUACUGCUGUUAAUUGGUUUAUAAAUUUUGAAUGUUUCAUUGCUAUUAUAAAGUUUUAAUGUUAUACUGCUAUUAAUCGGUUAGAAUGUUUCACCGCUAUUAUAAAGUUUAAAUGUUUUACAGCUAUUAAAAGAUUUCAAUGUUUUGGUGCUAUUAUAAAGUUUGAAUGUUUUACAGCUAUUAUAAAGUUAUUUUUUUUUAUUUUUAUAUAUUAUAAAGUUAUUUUUUUAAUUUUUAUAUAUUAUAAAGUUAUUUUUUUUAAUGUAAUUUUUCUGGCAUGCUGCAAAUCUUGCAUCCAUGCAUAUAAAUAUUAUGUAUAAAUAUUAUGCCUACCAUAACCUGACUACUUACCACAAAACCAGCUGCUAAAGCUGCAUGCAUUAUAAAAAUGAAAGCCAUCAUUCCUAAAGCAAUCUGUAGAUAUAUUAGAAAACAAAUAUAUAAAUCAAUGUUCCUGUAAAAGCAACAUAAAGUAAUAAUAUAUAGUAAUAUAAAUAACAACACAAACAAAGACCUGAAUGAAAAAAAAAAUGAUUGUCAGACUUACCU